AGACUAAAGGCCGGGUUCUAGAGGCCAGGAAGUCCAAACUCAAGGUGGUGGCAGAUGGCAUAUUUGGUGUCUGGCUCAGAAGGAAGAAGUUCUGUGACUGAUUAGCAAUGUCUAUCAUGGGUGCAGAAUGGAAUUUCCCACGUCCUACUUUGCAGUGUAACCCAGCGGGUGUCGUUCUGGUUUGUGGUUACCGAUCCUUCAAGAAAUCACACCCUUCCCGCCGUUGAGGUACAGUCAGCCAUCAGAAUGAAUCGAAACCGGAUCAACAAUGCCUUCUUUUUGAAUGACCAGACUCUGGAAUUUUUAAGAAUUCCUUCCACUCUUGCACCACCUACUGACCCGUCUGUGCCCAUCUGGAUUAUUAUAUUUGGUGUGAUAUUCUGCAUCGUCCUUGUGGCGACCAUGCUAUUGAUUUUAUCAGGAAUCCGGCAACAUAGAAGGUAAGA
Long non-coding RNA from Cervus elaphus (red deer), 446 nucleotides. RefSeq lists it as uncharacterized. The record is from RefSeq and is a predicted model, not a curated record. NCBI's taxonomy places the organism in Eukaryota, Metazoa, Chordata, Mammalia, Artiodactyla, Cervidae. The transcript is spliced from 5 exons.